CUGGGAGCGGGGUCUCUGCGGAUGGGAGAGCCCUGUGCUGGGGGAGGCAGGAGUGCAGGGCAGGAUGCGGGUUGGCAGCAGGGCUGGGGUGGGAGGGGAAGAAGACAAGAGCAGGGAGCAAUGCACUUGGAGGAAGUGCGAGCACCACUGCUCACAGAGGGGCAGAUGUGCCUGGCACUGCCAGCAGCUGGGCAAGGCGUGUCUGUGGUGCUGACAUGGGCACUGUUCUGGGACUGCGGUCUGCUGGAAGGACAUGGGCUCUGAGCUCUCAUGGCAUCUGCUACCUGGGCAUCGCUGCCAUCACAUGGGGCAUGAUAAUACAACUGGAGGUGAGUGCCUGGACAUACCACUACAGUGACCAAGGGGACUACACAUGGGAGCAGGCCAGGAACUACUGCCAGACCUUCUUCACUGACCUGGUGGCGAUCCAGAACAAGCAGGAGAUUGAGCACCUCAACAAGAGCCUGCCCUUCUAUAGGCACUACUAUUGGAUUGGCAUCCGCAAACUGAGCGGCACCUGGACCUGGGUGGGCACUAAGAAGGUGCUGACAAAGGAGGCAGAGAACUGGGCAGCUGGGGAGCCCAACAAUCGCCGCUCCAACCAGGACUGUGUGGAGAUCUACAUCAAGCGGCUCUUUGAGUCGGGCAAGUGGAAUGACGAGCCCUGCAACCGAAGGAAAAAAGCACUGUGCUACCAGGCCUCCUGCCAGCCCUUCCCAUGCAGCCAGCGCGGCGAGUGUGUGGAGACCAUCGGGAGCUACCGCUGCGAGUGCUACUCUGGCUUCCAUGGCCAUGAGUGUGAGGAUGUUGUGCAGUGCACUGAGCUUGAGCCCAAGGGAGUGCAAAUGAACUGCAGCCAUCCCUAUGGACGCUUCAGCUACAACUCCACCUGUAUGUUUGAAUGCCAGGAAGGGUUUGAGCGGCAAGGGGCAAGCACCCUGCGGUGCCUGCCUUCCCAGCAGUGGUCAGCAGACACCCCCAUGUGCACAGCCAUCACCUGCCCAGUGCUCAGUGCUCCAGACUGGGGAGAGCUGAACUGCUCCCACCUCCACGGGAACUUCGCCUUUGGCUCCACGUGUGCCUUCUCCUGCCAGACAGGAUUUUCACUGAUGGGGUCAGAAAGUCUUCAGUGUAUGGCCACAGGAACCUGGACUGGGGAUACCCCACACUGUGAAGCUAUCACCUGCCCAGUGCUCACUGCUCCAGAAUGGGGAGAGCUGAACUGCUCCCACCUCCAUGGGGACUUCACCUUUGGCUCCACAUGUGCCUUCUCCUGCCAGACAGGGUUUACACUGAUAGGGUUGAAGAGUCGUGAGUGCAUGGCCACGGGGACCUGGACUGGGGAUGCCCCACGCUGUGAAGCUAUCACCUGCCCAGAGCUCAGUGCUCCAGACUGGGGAGGGCUGAACUGCUCCCACCUCCAUGGGGAAUUUGCCUUCAGCUCCACGUGUGCCUUCUCCUGCCAGACAGGGUUUGCACUGAUGGGGCCAGAGACCCGUAACUGCACAGCUACAGGGACCUGGACUGGGAAUGCCCCAAGAUGUGCAGCUAUCACCUGUCCAGUACUCAGUGCUUCAGACUGGGGAGAGCUGAACUGCUCCCACAUCCAUGGAGACUUUGCCUUUGGCUCCACGUGUCUCUUCUCCUGCCAAAUGGGGUUUGCACUGAUGGGGUCAGAGAGACGUGAGUGCACAGCCAUGGGGACCUGGACUGGGAACACUCCACAGUGCAAAGCCAUCACCUGCCCAGUGCUCAGUGCUCCAGAUCAGGGAAAACUGAACUGCUCCCACCUCCAUGGGGACUUUGCUUUUGGCUCCACGUGUGUCUUCUCCUGUCAGAUGGGGUUUGCACUGGUGGGGCCAGAGAGCCGUGAGUGCACGGCCACGGGGACAUGGACUGGGGAUGCCCCACACUGUGAAGCUGUUGCCUGCCCACUGCUCAGUGCUCCAGACCAAGGAAAGCUGAACUGCUCCCACCUCCAUGGGAACUUCACCUUCGGCUCCACAUGUGCCUUCUCCUGCCAGACAGGGUUUACACUGAUGGGGCCAGAAAGCCUUGAGUGCACAGCCAUGGGGACCUGGACUGGAGACUCCCCACACUGUGAAGCCAUCACCUGCCCAGAGCUCCGUGCUCCAGACUGGGGAGAGCUGAACUGCUCCCACCUCCACGGGGACUUUGCCUUUGGCUCCACCUGUGCCUUCUCCUGCCAGACAGGGUUUGCACUGAUGGGGCUGGAGAGCCACAAGUGCACAGCCAUGGGGACCUGGACUAGCAAAACUCCACAAUGCAAAGCCAUCAGCUGCCCGGAGCUGGACCCCCCCAGCAGAAGUCACCUGAGCUGCUCUCACAUGUAUGGGAACUUUACAUACAACUCCACGUGCACCUUUUCCUGUGAGGAGGGCUUUGUUCGGAUGGGAGCAGAGGUGCUCUGGUGUGCAGCCACAGGGAACUGGACUAGGCAACCCCCUGUCUGUGCAGGUAUGAACGGUGCCCUCUUAAAGCAAGUCCUUGCCUACAGCAGCGGCACAGCUCUGGCAGUAGCUGGCCUCACGCUCUCUGGGAUGCUCAUUGCGCUCAUUGCCAAGCGGCUCAGUGACAGAGAUUUGGUUAUUUCUUUUCCAUCUGCUCUAUCCCUGUGGACAUUUCAACACCAUUAUCAGAGGAGAAGAAGAAGCUCUUGAACCCUACCAGUGACCUAGGCUCGCCUGGCAUCUUCACCAAUGCAGCCUAUGAUGCCAACCUGUAAGCCUGGCCCGGACCAAACGCCACCGUGUUCCCCAGCGCUGCAGACCCAGCAGGAGCUGCUGCCAGGGCCUAGAGGGGCUUC
Molecule: RNA transcript, 2827 nt
Organism: Neopsephotus bourkii (Bourke's parrot)
Lineage: Eukaryota; Metazoa; Chordata; Aves; Psittaciformes; Psittacidae
Gene name: P-selectin-like
Exons: 17
Source: RefSeq, a predicted model, not a curated record